CGCGUAGGCGGCUUGGCAAGUUGGAUGUGAAAGCCCAGGGCUCAACCCUGGAAUUGCAUUCAAGACUGCCUUGCUUGAAUUCGGUAGAGGUGAGUGGAAUUCCCAGUGUAGAGGUGAAAUUCGUAGAGAUUGGGAAGAACACCGGUGGCGAAGGCGGCUCACUGGACCGACAUUGACGCUGAGGCGCGAAAGCGUGGGGAUCAAACAGGAUUAGAUACCCUGGUAGUCCACGCCGUAAACGAUGCAUGCUAGACGUUGGAAACUUCGGUUUCUUGUGUCGCAGCUAACGCACUAAGCAUGCCGCCUGGGGAGUACGGCCGCAAGGUUGAA
RNAcentral lists this ribosomal RNA (330 nucleotides) under uncultured bacterium. RNAcentral describes it as "bacterial SSU rRNA". It matches the Rfam family "Bacterial small subunit ribosomal RNA", at positions 568 to 898 of the family's 1533-position model. The record is from RNAcentral.